GAUGAAGAACGCAGCGAAAUGCGAUAAGUAAUGCGAAUUGCAGAAUUCAGUGAAUCAUCGAGUCUUUGAACGCACAUUGCGCCCCCUGGUAUUCCGGGGGGCAUGCCUGUCCGAGCGUCAUUGCUGCCCUCAAGCACGGCUUGUGUGUUGGGCCUCCGUCCUCCUCCCGGGGGACGGGCCCGAAAGGCAGCGGCGGCACCGCGUCCGGUCCUCGGGCGUAUGGGGCUUCGUCACCCGCUCUUGUAGGCCCGGCCGGCGCUUGCCGACACAUCAAUCUUUUUUCCAGGUUGACCUCGGAUCAGGUAGGGAUACCCGCUGAACUUAAGCAUAUCAAUAAGCGGAGGA
Molecule: unclassified non-coding RNA, 345 nt
Filed under: soil metagenome
Description: partial contains 5.8S ribosomal RNA, internal transcribed spacer 2, and large subunit ribosomal RNA
Rfam family: 5.8S ribosomal RNA (bases 1-120)
Source: RNAcentral